This 30-nucleotide non-coding RNA is filed under the name Homo sapiens (human). Lineage: Eukaryota; Metazoa; Chordata; Mammalia; Primates; Hominidae. The record is from RNAcentral.
UGUUUUUGAAACCAACUCCUACUUAUGUGC